GACGAACGCUGGCGGCGUGCUUAACACAUGCAAGUCGAACGGAAAGGCCCUGCUUUUGUGGGGUGCUCGAGUGGCGAACGGGUGUGUAACACGUGAGUAUCCUGCCCUUGACUUUGGGAUAACUUCAGGAAACUGGGGCUAAUACCGGAUAGGAGCUCCUGCUGCAUGGUGGGGGUUGGAAAGUUUCGGCGGUUGGGGGUGGACUCGCGGCUUAUCCGCUUGUUGGUGGGGUAGUGGCUUACCAAGGCUUUGACGGGUAGCCGGCCUGAGAGGGUGACCGGCCACAUUGGGACUGAGAUACGGCCCAGACUCCAACGGGACGCAGCAGGGGGGAAUAUUGCACAGUGGGCGGAAGCCUGAUGCAGCGACGCCGCGUGCGGGAUGACGGCCUUCGGGUUGUAAACCGCUUUCGCCUGUGACGAAGCGUGAGUGACGGUAAUGGGUAAAGAAGCACCGGCUAACUACGUG
This 468-nucleotide ribosomal RNA is filed under the name uncultured bacterium. RNAcentral describes it as "partial 16S ribosomal RNA". It matches the Rfam family "Bacterial small subunit ribosomal RNA", at positions 28 to 507 of the family's 1533-position model. The record is from RNAcentral.